This 497-nucleotide ribosomal RNA is filed under the name uncultured bacterium. RNAcentral's name for it is "partial 16S ribosomal RNA". It matches the Rfam family "Bacterial small subunit ribosomal RNA", at positions 28 to 507 of the family's 1533-position model. The record is from RNAcentral.
GAUGAACGCUGGCGGCGUGCCUAAUACAUGCAAGUCGAGCGAACGGAUGAGGAGCUUGCUCCUCUGACGUUAGCGGCGGAUGGGUGAGUAACACGUGGAUAACCUACCUAUAAGACUGGGAUAACUUCGGGAAACCGGAGCUAAUACCGGAUAAUAUAUUGAACCGCAUGGUUCAAUAGUGAAAGACGGUUUUGCUGUCACUUAUAGAUGGAUCCGCGCCGCAUUAGCUAGUUGGUAAGGUAACGGCUUACCAAGGCAACGAUGCGUAGCCGACCUGAGAGGGUGAUCGGCCACACUGGAACUGAGACACGGUCCAGACUCCUACGGGAGGCAGCAGUAGGGAAUCUUCCGCAAUGGGCGAAAGCCUGACGGAGCAACGCCGCGUGAGUGAUGAAGGUCUUCGGAUCGUAAAACUCUGUUAUUAGGGAAGAACAAAUGUGUAAGUAACUAUGCACGUCUUGACGGUACCUAAUCAGAAAGCCACGGCUAACUACGUG